This 1723-nucleotide long non-coding RNA is filed under the name Phasianus colchicus (ring-necked pheasant). RNAcentral's name for it is "lncRNA (ENSPCLG00000020817.1)". Lineage: Eukaryota; Metazoa; Chordata; Aves; Galliformes; Phasianidae. The record is from RNAcentral.
CAGUCCUCACAUAUGCUCAGAUAGAGGCCAGGCAGAAACUGCUGAGCUGAGCUGCUGCAACCAUAUUAAAGCAGUGUUGGCCACACAGUCACAAUCCGUCACCUGGGGAUGUUACAAACCAUCACUUGGUCACAUUGCAAAGCAUCACCUUCACGCAACCUUGACUAGGGGACUUCAGCACUUGUCUCACCCAGAUGUCACAAUCCAUUGCUGAGUCAUCACAGUGAGCCAUUCUUACCUGCAGCACGUGCAUCAGCAGCACUCCAGACCCAGCACAAGUUCUCCAACACUACUGCCCACUCCAUUCCCUGCAUAUCAUGUGCUUGGCAUCAGUGUUUCACACCAACCACCAAGGCCUUGGCCAUGUCUUCCCAUGGGCCCCAUUAGGUCACUCUGGCCAUGGCACUCAGAUCCAGGAAGCAACAAAAAGGAAAACAGCCCUUCUCAGCUUAAGAAUAUGCUCUGAAAAACAACCCAGGAUGGAGAAGCUUAUGGCAAUUCAAGAAUAUGUUCUACUUCCCUUCUUCUUCACCUUGUAAACAUGACUGCUUCAGUCUAAACAGGAAUCUCCUAUCUGAUGCAGUCCCUGUGCCCUCUUCCAUGUUGUACACACCUUGUCAUCUUUGUACGCAUCAAGAGGAUGGAGAUGGAUUCCAGUUCCUAUUAGCAGUUUGAUGGGGUAGCAAAAUGGCGCCGAUGCUGGCAUGCAUACCUCUAUGGAGCUCCAGGAAGACCUGUGUUUUAUAUCCUGCCUCAAAACCAAACAGGGAAAACUGCUUUUUAAUUCACCAGUUUUAUCUCUCUGAGCUUAGUGAAUUCUGUGCUCAUAAAAAGUGAGAGACAGCUAUUGCAGGCUAAAGGCUAGCACAGCGCAAGUUUCAUGCAUACAUACCACUCUGCUAAAUACACCUUAGUGCUGACCCUGUGGCAUGUCCUACUCUAAUAAUUCAUCCUCCCCUGGUCCCCAUCACUCCCUUCACCGGUUCAUUCUUGGCAUUUCUGUUGUGCCUUGCACUUCCCUUUUAAUAUUGCAGGCUUGGAUGCCUCCUGAUUAGUGACUGAAACUUAUGCUGAGCUCUGCAGCAAGUUUUGUGAAGGGUCUAGGGUGAAACCUUCUGAAUUCAUUUUCACUCUUGAUAGAAACCAGACAGUGAACUUUAGUUUUCAGAUGAGGUAAUGAUUCGCCAACUGAUCCCUUGUGCUCCUUUCUGAUUUAGGAUCUUCCUCUGGGGAGAUGCUCGUACAUUUAGGAAUGAAGUCACUUUUAUAGCACACUGUCCUGAAUUGGAAAUCAUAAGCACAGGCCUCUCUGAGCCUGUUUUCUUUGUGCUAACUGGGAAUGUGUUCUCCAAAUGAGAAAAUUCUCUCUUCAGCAGAUGGUUCUUUUUUGCUUUUCUUUCCUUUUUAAAAACACAAUGAAACUCUAAAGACUGGAAAAGGUCAAAUAUUUUAGUGAGCUUUAUUCAAGGAGGAGGAAGAGAUCUAUCACAGGAGAGCAUACUGAGACCCCUGAAAUGUCAAAUAAGCAGAUUAUUUGGUUACCAGAAUUGGGGCAGCUGGUCCCAGGUGAGGACAGUGUCACAACUUCUUAGCAGUCUUUUUCAACACUUAGCUUUAAGAUUUCUCCGACUCAGAUAGAAAAAAAAAAAAAUCAACAAACUAUUUUUUUUCAUAUCGAAGAGAAUUUCAGACAGAGAAUAAAAUCCCAGCCCUCUUUAGAUCA